RNAcentral lists this ribosomal RNA (652 nucleotides) under Salmonella enterica. RNAcentral's name for it is "partial 16S ribosomal RNA". It matches the Rfam family "Bacterial small subunit ribosomal RNA", at positions 881 to 1533 of the family's 1533-position model. RNAcentral also lists the same sequence under 1 other name. The record is from RNAcentral. Lineage: Bacteria; Pseudomonadati; Pseudomonadota; Gammaproteobacteria; Enterobacterales; Enterobacteriaceae.
UACGGCCGCAAGGUUAAAACUCAAAUGAAUUGACGGGGGCCCGCACAAGCGGUGGAGCAUGUGGUUUAAUUCGAUGCAACGCGAAGAACCUUACCUGGUCUUGACAUCCACAGAACUUUCCAGAGAUGGAUUGGUGCCUUCGGGAACUGUGAGACAGGUGCUGCAUGGCUGUCGUCAGCUCGUGUUGUGAAAUGUUGGGUUAAGUCCCGCAACGAGCGCAACCCUUAUCCUUUGUUGCCAGCGAUUAGGUCGGGAACUCAAAGGAGACUGCCAGUGAUAAACUGGAGGAAGGUGGGGAUGACGUCAAGUCAUCAUGGCCCUUACGACCAGGGCUACACACGUGCUACAAUGGCGCAUACAAAGAGAAGCGACCUCGCGAGAGCAAGCGGACCUCAUAAAGUGCGUCGUAGUCCGGAUUGGAGUCUGCAACUCGACUCCAUGAAGUCGGAAUCGCUAGUAAUCGUGGAUCAGAAUGCCACGGUGAAUACGUUCCCGGGCCUUGUACACACCGCCCGUCACACCAUGGGAGUGGGUUGCAAAAGAAGUAGGUAGCUUAACCUUCGGGAGGGCGCUUACCACUUUGUGAUUCAUGACUGGGGUGAAGUCGUAACAAGGUAACCGUAGGGGAACCUGCGGUUGGAUCACCUCCUUA